GGCGGUUCUCUGGUGACACACCCAGGAAUUGGGUUUCCUCCUCUUUGGUUCCGGGUGUAUCACCCAAGAAUAGCA
Myotis davidii is the source of this 75-nucleotide non-coding RNA. The record is from Rfam. NCBI's taxonomy places the organism in Eukaryota, Metazoa, Chordata, Mammalia, Chiroptera, Vespertilionidae.